RNAcentral lists this long non-coding RNA (235 nucleotides) under Phaseolus vulgaris (common bean). Its description in RNAcentral is "long non-coding RNA (PVUL_LNC000308)". The record is from RNAcentral. Lineage: Eukaryota; Viridiplantae; Streptophyta; Magnoliopsida; Fabales; Fabaceae.
ACACUUUGAGCCCUUGAAGACACACUCACCGUCUAAAACGUAAUUAAAAGAUGUAAUUAACAAUAAACCAAGUUGCAAAGGGAAAUAAGAAAACUCCCUUUGUUGUUCCUCCUUUUGGUUAGUGCACUUCUUUGUUGUCUUGAUUGUUGAUCUCCUAAAUGUUUGUAGUGUUUGUUUCAAGGAAGUUUGUUUCGGCUUUGGCUUUGUCUCCUCCUUAGAAUGUUGGCUUUAAUUC